GGNCGCCNUGGCCGCGGGAUUAGAGUUUGAUCAUGGCUCAGGACGAACGCUGGCGGCGUGCUUAAUACAUGCAAGUCGAGCGAGGUUACUGUUUUGGAUCCCUUCGGGGUGAAGAAGCUUUAACCUAGCGGCGGACGGGUGAGUAACGCGUGGGUAACCUACCCCAAAGUCCGGGAUAACAGCGGGAAACCGCUGCUAAUACCGGAUGCCUUUACCUUGGGGCAUCUUGAGGUAAAGAAAGGCAACGCUUUGGGAUGGGCCCGCGUCCCAUUAGCUAGUUGGUGAGGUAACGGCUCACCAAGGCGACGAUGGGUAGCCGGCCUGAGAGGGUGGACGGCCACACUGGGACUGAGACACGGCCCAGACUCCUACGGGAGGCAGCAGUAGGGAAUAUUGCGCAAUGGACGGAAGUCUGACGCAGCGACGCCGCGUGAGCGAUGAAGGUCUUCGGAUCGUAAAGCUCUGUCCUUGGGGAAGAAGGCGAAAGCUUGACGGUACCCAAGAAGAAAGCCCCGGCUAACUACGUGCCAGCAGCCGCGGUAAU
RNAcentral lists this ribosomal RNA (544 nucleotides) under uncultured bacterium. Its description in RNAcentral is "bacterial SSU rRNA". It matches the Rfam family "Bacterial small subunit ribosomal RNA", at positions 1 to 524 of the family's 1533-position model. The record is from RNAcentral.